CGCGUAGGCGGUUUUGUAAGUCGAAUGUGAAAGCCCCGGGCUUAACCUGGGAAUUGCGUUCGAUACUGCGAAACUAGAGUACGGUAGAGGGAAGUGGAAUUCCGGGUGUAGCGGUGAAAUGCGUAGAUAUCCGGAGGAACACCAGUGGCGAAGGCGACUCCCUGGGCCAGUACUGACGCUGAGGUGCGAAAGCGUGGGGAGCAAACA
Molecule: ribosomal RNA, 207 nt
Filed under: uncultured bacterium
Lineage: Bacteria
Description: partial 16S ribosomal RNA
Rfam family: Bacterial small subunit ribosomal RNA
Source: RNAcentral